GAGCGGUAGCACAGGAGAGCUUGCUCUCCGGGUGACGAGCGGCGGACGGGUGAGUAAUGUCUGGGAAACUGCCUGAUGGAGGGGGAUAACUACUGGAAACGGUAGCAAAUACCGCAUAACGUCUACGGACCAAAGUGGGGGACCUUCGGGCCUCACGCCAUCAGAUGUGCCCAGAUGGGAUUAGCUAGUAGGUGGGGUAAUGGCUCACCUAGGCGACGAUCCCUAGCUGGUCUGAGAGGAUGACCAGCCACACUGGAACUGAGACACGGUCCAGACUCCUACGGGAGGCAGCAGUGGGGAAUAUUGCACAAUGGGCGCAAGCCUGAUGCAGCCAUGCCGCGUGUGUGAAGAAGGCCUUAGGGUUGUAAAGCACUUUCAGCGAGGAGGAAGGGUUCAGUGUUAAUAGCACUGUGCAUUGACGUUACUCGCAGAAGAAGCACCGGCUAACUCCGUGCCAGCAGCCGCGGUAAUACGGAGGGUGCAAGCGUUAAUCGGAAUUACUGGGCGUAAAGCGCACGCAGGCGGUUUGUUAAGUCAGAUGUGAAAUCCCCGCGCUUAACGUGGGAACUGCAUUUGAAACUGGCAAGCUAGAGUCUUGUAGAGGGGGGUAGAAUUCCAGGUGUAGCGGUGAAAUGCGUAGAGAUCUGGAGGAAUACCGGUGGCGAAGGCGGCCCCCUGGA
This 680-nucleotide ribosomal RNA is filed under the name Serratia sp. HBR25. RNAcentral's name for it is "bacterial SSU rRNA". It matches the Rfam family "Bacterial small subunit ribosomal RNA", at positions 64 to 733 of the family's 1533-position model. The record is from RNAcentral. Lineage: Bacteria; Pseudomonadati; Pseudomonadota; Gammaproteobacteria; Enterobacterales; Yersiniaceae.